GAUCCUGGCUCAGGAUGAACGCUGGCGGCGUGCUUAACACAUGCAAGUCGAACGAAGCACUUUAUUUGAUUUCCUUCGGGACUGAUUAUUUUGUGACUGAGUGGCGGACGGGUGAGUAACGCGUGGGUAACCUGCCUUGUACAGGGGGAUAACAGUUGGAAACGGCUGCUAAUACCGCAUAAGCGCACGGCAUCGCAUGAUGCAGUGUAGAAAACUCGGUGGUAUAAGAUCGGACCCGUCGG
This 242-nucleotide ribosomal RNA is filed under the name uncultured bacterium. RNAcentral's name for it is "partial 16S ribosomal RNA". It matches the Rfam family "Bacterial small subunit ribosomal RNA", at positions 15 to 236 of the family's 1533-position model. The record is from RNAcentral.